Capsicum annuum is the source of this 587-nucleotide long non-coding RNA. RefSeq lists it as uncharacterized. The record is from RefSeq and is a predicted model, not a curated record. Lineage: Eukaryota; Viridiplantae; Streptophyta; Magnoliopsida; Solanales; Solanaceae. The transcript has 2 exons.
GAAAAAAUUACGCAAGACAUAGGCCAAGCAACCUAAGAAAAUAACAAAACAAAACAAAACAAAAAAACCCUCCUAACCCAAAAGCCCACCCGAAUGAGGCCCCCGAAAAACCCCUACACCUUAUUACAUUUAUAAUAUAUCCGAAAAUGAGAGUUUUUUAUUUUCACUCUCACCUACACCUUUCCGCGCCCCUCAACACCUGAGAACUGAUGCUGCCGCCGCUCUUCAACCAUAAUUUUCUCCGUCUCUUCUUUGGAUUAUCAAUGAUUUUUUUGGAAGCUUGUGUAUUUUAGAUAUUAGCUUUCAAGAGUGGAUCCGUGAUUGAGUGCAUGGGAGGCUUGAUACAUCCGCCCUAUAGUGGACACAACAACUUUCAGGUUUAUUGUUUCUGAAUUGAUGAUGAAACCUUUUCUUUUUGUCAAGUCUUUUUUGAUGGCUGAAGUAGUGUAGACUAGAAUUCCAUUUGUUUUUGAAGACUUCAUGGCUAUGUAAAUAUUGUUUAAGUGAAAAUGCUUAUGUUGUAGCCUUCUCUGUACCAUUAUACCUUAAUAGGCGAUACUCUUAAAUAUGGGCAAUUUAGCUUGUCA